Molecule: ribosomal RNA, 437 nt
Filed under: Streptococcus sanguinis
Lineage: Bacteria; Bacillati; Bacillota; Bacilli; Lactobacillales; Streptococcaceae
Description: bacterial SSU rRNA
Rfam family: Bacterial small subunit ribosomal RNA
Source: RNAcentral
GACGAACGCUGGCGGCGUGCCUAAUACAUGCAAGUAGAACGCUGAAGAGAGGAGCUUGCUCUUCUUGGAUGAGUUGCGAACGGGUGAGUAACGCGUAGGUAACCUGCCUGGUAGCGGGGGAUAACUAUUGGAAACGAUAGCUAAUACCGCAUAAAAUUGAUUAUUGCAUGAUAAUUAAUUGAAAGAUGCAAUUGCAUCACUACCAGAUGGACCUGCGUUGUAUUAGCUAGUUGGUGAGGUAACGGCUCACCAAGGCGACGAUACAUAGCCGACCUGAGAGGGUGAUCGGCCACACUGGGACUGAGACACGGCCCAGACUCCUACGGGAGGCAGCAGUAGGGGAAUCUUCGGCAAAUGGGGGGAAACCCCUGACCCGAGCAAACGCCCGCGUGAGUGAAAGAAAGGUUUUUCGGAUUCGUAAAAGCUUCUGUUGUAAA